GAGAUGUCCCAUCCGAAAGGAGUAAGACCCCUUGAAGACGACGAGGUAGAUAGGGCAGAGGUGGAAGUGCAGCAAUGUAUGGAGCUGACUGCUACUAAUCGGUCGAGGGCUUGACCUAAAA
Molecule: ribosomal RNA, 121 nt
Filed under: Blautia sp. An46
Lineage: Bacteria; Bacillati; Bacillota; Clostridia; Lachnospirales; Lachnospiraceae
Description: partial 23S ribosomal RNA
Rfam family: Bacterial large subunit ribosomal RNA
Source: RNAcentral